Molecule: ribosomal RNA, 375 nt
Filed under: Pseudomonas graminis
Lineage: Bacteria; Pseudomonadati; Pseudomonadota; Gammaproteobacteria; Pseudomonadales; Pseudomonadaceae
Description: bacterial SSU rRNA
Rfam family: Bacterial small subunit ribosomal RNA
Source: RNAcentral
UACGGGAGGCAGCAGUGGGGAAUAUUGGACAAUGGGCGAAAGCCUGAUCCAGCCAUGCCGCGUGUGUGAAGAAGGUCUUCGGAUUGUAAAGCACUUUAAGUUGGGAGGAAGGGCAGUAAGCGAAUACCUUGCUGUUUUGACGUUACCGACAGAAUAAGCACCGGCUAACUCUGUGCCAGCAGCCGCGGUAAUACAGAGGGUGCAAGCGUUAAUCGGAAUUACUGGGCGUAAAGCGCGCGUAGGUGGUUUGUUAAGUUGAAUGUGAAAUCCCCGGGCUCAACCUGGGAACUGCAUCCAAAACUGGCAAGCUAGAGUAGGGCAGAGGGUGGUGGAAUUUCCUGUGUAGCGGUGAAAUGCGUAGAUAUAGGAAGGAAC